GUCAACAAAUCAGGCAGUUAAUAGUCAGUUCAUAGUAAUUUCGUUCUGGAUUGUUCGCAUCCUCCCUGAAGAAAGCAACGCGUGGAUUCUGCCGAAGACCAAUCCAAGAAGAAGUGAAAAGUGAACAAAUUGCACUGUAAUUCGAAUUCCUUUCUUCAAUUAGUGCACAUACAAUGAACGGUCAUCAUCGCAAGAGGAAGUGGCAAGCUCGGCGCGGUGAGGAUCUCACCCCCGACGACCGUAUUGAACUGAUUGCCGAGUUGAUGGCUAAACUA
Molecule: long non-coding RNA, 275 nt
Organism: Drosophila persimilis
Lineage: Eukaryota; Metazoa; Arthropoda; Insecta; Diptera; Drosophilidae
Exons: 3
Source: RefSeq, a predicted model, not a curated record